GUUGCUUAAUUUUUACUAUAAUGCCUUUUUUUAGAAUGUGUAUCUUCUGGGCUUCUGGCCACUUUUAUAAAAAUUUUGGCAUUUGUAGGCCAUUGUAUGUUAGUUAGAUAGUAAUUAAUAUUAAAUUGUUAGCAUGGGGGAAUUAUAUAUAAAAAAGGAUAGAAGUAUUUAUUGAGGGAUUACUUGGAGAUUGUCUAAGUUCCACCUGUAGCUCGGGCUAAUGUAAAAAGUUAAAACAACAACCAUUUUAGAACAGAG
RNAcentral lists this long non-coding RNA (258 nucleotides) under Lotus japonicus. RNAcentral's name for it is "long non-coding RNA (LJAP_LNC000924)". The record is from RNAcentral. Lineage: Eukaryota; Viridiplantae; Streptophyta; Magnoliopsida; Fabales; Fabaceae.